AUACGGAGGGUGCAAGCGUUAAUCGGAAUUACUGGGCGUAAAGCGCACGCAGGCGGUUAAUUAAGUUGGGUGUGAAAGCCCCGGGCUCAACCUGGGAAUUGCAUUUAAGACUGGUUAGCUAGAGUCUCGUAGAGGGGGGUAGAAUUCCAUUUGUAGAGGUGAAAUGCGUAGAGAUAUGGAGGAAUACCGGUGGCGAAGGCGGCCCCCUGGACGAAGACUGACGCUCAGGUGCGAAAGCGUGGGGAGCAAACAGGAUUAGAUACCCUGGUAGUCCACGCUGUAAACGAUGUCGAUUUGGAGUCUGUGACCAUGAGUCGUGGGCUCCGGAGCUAACGCGUUAAAUCGACCGCCUGGGGAGUACGGCCGCAAGGUUAAAACUCAAAUGAAUUGGCGGGG
This 396-nucleotide ribosomal RNA is filed under the name uncultured bacterium. RNAcentral's name for it is "partial 16S ribosomal RNA". It matches the Rfam family "Bacterial small subunit ribosomal RNA", at positions 523 to 918 of the family's 1533-position model. The record is from RNAcentral.